CGACGGGUCCCUGUGAAAUCGGACGGCUUAACCGUUCAGCUUGCAGGGAAACUGUUGGUCUUGAGGCUGGUAGGCGCCGAGGGUACUCCGGGGGUAGCAGUGAAAUGCUAUAAUCCUUGGGGGACCGCCAGUGGCGAAAGCGCUCGGCGAGGCCAGACCUGACGGUGAGGGACGAAGGCCAGGGUAGCGAACCGGAUUAGAUACCCGGGUAGUCCUGGCUGUAAAGGAUGUGAGUUAGGUGCUAGGCGCUCCUCGAGAGCGUCCGGUGCCGAAGGGAAGCCAUUAAGCUCACCGCCUGGGAAGUACGGUCGCAAGACUGAAACUUAAAGAAAUUGGCGGGGGAGCACCACAAGGGGUGGAGCCAGCGGUUUAAUUGGAUUCAACGCCGGACAUCUCACCGGGGGCGACGGCAGAAUGAAGGCCAAGUUGACGACUUUGCCGGACUCGCCGAGAGGUGGUGCAUGGCCGCCGUCAGCUCGUAUCGUGAGGCGUCCUGUCAAGUCAGGUAACGAGCGAGACCCUCGCCCUUAGUUGCCAUCGGAUUCCGCAAGGGAUGCCGGGAACUCUAAGGGGACCGCUGUCGAUAAGACAGAGGAGGGAGAGGGCGACGGUAGGUCCGUAUGCCCCGAAUCCCCCGGGCAACACGCGGGCUACAAUGCGUAGGGCAGAGGGCUGCGACCCCGAAAGGGGGAGCUAAUCCCUAAACCUGCGCCUAGUUCGGAUCGAGGGCUGCAACCCGCCCUCGUGAAGCUGGAAUCCCUAGUAAUCGCGUGUCAUUAUCGCAC
RNAcentral lists this ribosomal RNA (785 nucleotides) under uncultured candidate division MSBL1 archaeon. Its description in RNAcentral is "bacterial SSU rRNA". It matches the Rfam family "Archaeal small subunit ribosomal RNA", at positions 531 to 1316 of the family's 1478-position model. The record is from RNAcentral. Lineage: Archaea; Methanobacteriati; Methanobacteriota.